CGUAGGGCGCAAGCGUUGUCCGGAAUUAUUGGGCGUAAAGAGCUCGUAGGUGGUGUGUCGAGUCUGCCGUGAAAGCCUGGGGCUUAACUCCGGGUCUGCGGUGGAUACGGGCAGACUAGAGGCAGGUAGGGGAGAACGGAAUUCCCGGUGUAGCGGUGAAAUGCGCAGAUAUCGGGAGGAACACCAAUGGCGAAGGCAGCUCGCUGGGACGGUACUGACGCUGAGGCUCGAAAGCGUGGGGAGCAAACAGG
RNAcentral lists this ribosomal RNA (251 nucleotides) under uncultured bacterium. RNAcentral's name for it is "partial 16S ribosomal RNA". It matches the Rfam family "Bacterial small subunit ribosomal RNA", at positions 526 to 776 of the family's 1533-position model. The record is from RNAcentral.